GGGUCUGCAGAUGCCAUCCAGGCGCACGGCGGGUAUAGUGGUUCCGCAACCUUGGGAUGUUCGGCUGAGCGCCUGCCUAACAUGGGAGCGCCUGCCUAACCCUCCUGACUGGAGGGUCAGCGGCGGGGAGUCCUGGCCUUCAAUCGGCCAUCGCCACGGCAGAAACUGGGGCCCGGGCUGCGUCCAGGCCCUUCCCCGUCCGUCCACAGGUCUCAUGGGCGCCCGGACUGGGGCUGAUGUAGUUUCCCGACCUCUGACACAUAGGAUCUGGAGAUUAAAGCUGCUCUGCUAAUAAUUAGGUUCCCACCUCUCAAGAUCAUUAGGAGCUUCUUUUCCAAUUCCUCUGUUUUGCAUGCAUUGGAAGGCCCCUGGAUCCUCCUGGAAUCCCUGAUCCCUGUUGCUCCCUGGCGGAGUUUUCUAGUCCCUCUUACUUGAAGCAUGUCUUUCAGAGCCCGGCACCACCCAAGUUGGGUAUCUGGUGAAUUCUGUGGUCUGCAUGUCCAUGUUUGUGACAUUCUGGGAAGGGUGGCCCAGGCUGUGAUUUGCCAUCUACUGCAGGCUAUGGAUGGUAUUCAGAAGGGAGGGGAGAUGCUGUGUGCGUGUUCUGAAGGGUUUCCCACUAAACAGACCAACCCUCUCCAUAACUAUUUGAUUUUUACUUUAUCUCCUCGUUGACUUCACAGUGUCAGUGCAGUUUGUGUAAACAUCUCUACGGGGUGAUGCAUGCAGAUAAAUGUUUAUGUGAACAUAUAAAGUCUGCAUGUGUGGGUGAACACUCCACAUCAGGUCAUUGUCCAUCAUUACAUAUCUGUGGUGUCUGGCUCAUUCCUCUCAUUUUCUGUCAUUUUACCUACUUUUACCUGAAGUACAAUGACUAUUUAAUAACUAUUAAAUGUUUCAUUUCAGCUACACCUCUAUGGUAUUUUUUUCACCUCAUAUCAUACCUUCCUCCCUCACUGGACUUCAGUGUGGGACCUGCAGGUCUCAGGCCUUCUGGGAAGUCCCAGCUUUUCUUGAAUGUUCUCUCUCUCUGGCCAGCUCAGGCUGGAGCAGUGGGUGUUGGUGCCAUCCUGUGGCUAUAGGUGAUAAGCCGGCUGUUCUUCACUGACCUGGUCUUACCUUGAACCCUGGAGUUCUCACAUGCAUGGAUUUAAAUGCUGUGUCUUUCUAAGGGCACAUUAUGGCCAUUUUCCUUAUCUCCCUCCCAAGGGGCUGUUUCCUGUAUUUAUUGACUCCCUGUUUAAAAAAAAUAUAUGUAUAUAUAGACAAAUUGGAUUGUACCCCAUAAACUGCAUGUUUUAAAAAUACUUCAAAGAAUAGUUUUUCAUUUUUUUCUUGCUGGUUUUUAUGUAUCUUCUAAAUUGUAUAUAUUUAUGGGGUAUAAAAUGAUGUUGUGAUUUUUCAAUACAGUGUGGAAUGAGAAUCAAAUUAACCUAUCCGUUACCUCAAGUACUUGACUUUUUUUGUGAUGAGAAGGCUGUUUAUCACUUUCACUCACCAGCUCCUGCUGUCUUCCAUGCUGGGGACAGGAAAGGCUCCACGCUUGACUUUCCCUCCUGUUUUCUUAUCUGCUGUCAACCCCUGAAUGUACCCUCCAGGAUUGACUUCUAGACCUUCUACAUCUAGCUCGAUCGUUGUGCACCCACCUUCCUCCCAGGGACUGUCCUUAGGGAGUGACUUUAUGCACAAACUUCACAUGCUCUUCCUGCCUCCUUCAUCCCCAGAAGCCCCCAUCUCAGCCCCAUCUGAUUAUUUCCUCCCUCUCUCAUUUCCUGUUAUGCUGUUGGUUUUCUAACCUGAAGGGUAACUUCUUACUCCUUAGUUUUUUGCCUUAAUUUCUAAGUCAUAGGCUACUUUCAGGCUAAAAGUUUUCCUCCAGCCAUGGUUUUAGUCUCAUUCUAUAAGUCUUGCUAGGUAGUUUAUUCAUUGGAAAUUUUUUGUUUUUGAGACAGAGUCUCGCUCUAUCACCCAGGCUGUAGUACAGUGGUGCCAUCUCAGCUCACUGCAACCUCCGGUUCCCGGGCUCAAGCAGUUCUCUUUCCUCAGCCUCCUGAGUAGCUGGGAUUAUGGGUGCCUGCCACCACACCCAGCUAAUUUUUGUAUUUUUAGCAGAGACGGCAUUUCACCAUGUCAGCCAGGUUGGUCUCGAACUCUUGACCUCAAGUGAUCCGCCCGCCUUGGCCUCCCAAAAUACUGGGAUUACAGGGGUGAGUCACCGCACCCCACCCCUUGGCACUAUAUUUAAGUGAUGAUAUUUUUGGACACUGAGGUAGCCUCAUUCCACAGGUUUAGAUCUGAAGCAUUUUCACUAUUGCUUCUUUCCAUGUAUUUCCUGGUUUGCAGGUCAGUUUCUUCUUUUAAUUCAUCAUUGACACAGUGGUUUAUAUGGCUUUUAAUUUCAAAAGAUUUUUUAAAAUAUCUUUUUGCCGAUUUUUAUCUAUGUUAAUUUUAACUAGACAUGUUCCCUGGAAGGACAUCACUAGUUUUUUUUUUUUUUUUCCCUCUGUUUAUAAUUUAGGUGGAUUUUCACAUCUCAAGCCAGCUAAGAGUAUGGGAAAUAGGACUCGUUAAAGCACAGGUAUCACACAAGUGAUUCAGAUUCACGAGGGUAAUCCAGAUGAAGGUAUAUCAUUGUACCUGGCCCGCAUCACUCAAUAACUGUCACCUUUGAUUUAUUGAUUUACUUGAGAUGGAGUUUGGUUCUGUCCCCGAGGCCGGAGUGCAAUGGCGUGAUCUCUGCUCACUACAACCUCUGCCUCCCAGGUUCAGAGUGAUUCUCCUGCCUCAGCCUCUUUAGCUGGGAUUACAGGCACCCACCAACAUGCCCAGCUAAUUUUUGUAUUUUUAGUAGAGAGGAGCUUUCACCAUAAUGGCCAGGCUGGUCUUGAACCUCAAAUGAUCUGCCCACCUUGGCCUCCCAAAGUGCUAGGAUUACAGGCUGGAGCUACGGAGCCCAGCCUGUCACCUUGAUUUAAAUGAAUGCAGCUUUCUUGGUGUCUUGAUGUUUGUGAAUUUCUGUGGAGUUUGAUACUGCUCCUUUUGCUGCUUGUUUUUCCAGAGUCCCCUUAUCACUUGACGUGCUGUUAUAUUAUGUUUGAUUUAUUACAGAUACCCCAUCAGCCUGAGUCUCUUAAAGGCCUUUAUACACAUAUGUCUACACAUAGGGAUUUGGAUGAUCUCGGGAUCCCACAUCCUCGCUGUCCCCUGUCCCCCCACAACAUCCCACACCAAUACCUUUCUGAAGUUUUCUAGUCCCUCCUUUUUGUUUGUGGUCCUUAAAGCCCAGCCCCAUGCCUGACUUUGGUUCCCAGUGAGCAUUGUACAUUUGUGGAUAUUAAAUCUUUGGCAAAGUCAU
Molecule: long non-coding RNA, 3355 nt
Organism: Homo sapiens (human)
Lineage: Eukaryota; Metazoa; Chordata; Mammalia; Primates; Hominidae
Product: long intergenic non-protein coding RNA 1535
Source: Ensembl